Long non-coding RNA from Oreochromis niloticus (Nile tilapia), 799 nucleotides. RefSeq lists it as uncharacterized. The record is from RefSeq and is a predicted model, not a curated record. The transcript has 2 exons. Lineage: Eukaryota; Metazoa; Chordata; Actinopteri; Cichliformes; Cichlidae.
UUGAGAAUGCAUCAAGAAGAAGCAUAAACUGCUGCCAUCCCCAAAAAAACUCCAAUGAGAAAUCAAAUCAAACAAAUGUGUGCAGGAUUAAAAUGGUCCAAUACCACAUUUGUCAUUUCCCAAACUGCACAUGAUCGAUUUGUCCCCUCAACAGCAGGAUUCAACAAAAUAUGACGUCCUUCAGACUUUAAAGUGCUGUCAAUGAAAUAUCAUAAUCAGUUUGGUUACACCAUAACUAUUCUGUACUGAUGAUGACACAGCUAACUGUUCAUGACACUUUCAUUAAAUGGACAAAGUGGCCUCAGUAAAGAGCAGAAAUGUUCAUCAUCCUAAAUAUCUGAAACAAGUUGCUUCAUUUUGAUGACUUCAUUUCAUAAACUGUCACUGUUUUUAAAUCAAUGCUGAAUUCUUUCCAGCAGAGGUUCUUCAGUGGUUUGGAUUUGAGCUUUGAGUGGAUCCCUGAGUUCACAGCAGGAGAAAAUGCCACAGAUGAUUUCAUUGGAUAAGUUAGACUGAGGAGCAUCAUCAGAGCAGUCCAGACUCCAGGACUGAUCCCUGAAUCCAAACGUCAGUCAUUACUGAAUCCUUCCCUUCUGAUUCUGCUGGAACUCACUGAUAUAGUGAUAACUUCACAGAUCAGUGGAAGAAGAUAGAGGGAUGGUUUUAGUAGGCUGGACAGCAGCUCCAAGGAAACAUGAUUUUAUGAUGCUAGGCUAACCUGUAAGAGCUGUUUGCACUGAUAAAGAAUAAUACUCAGACUUUUACCUUCACUGUUUCACUACAGCUUAAAGGGUCAACA